RNAcentral lists this ribosomal RNA (33 nucleotides) under Pratylenchus mediterraneus. RNAcentral describes it as "partial 28S ribosomal RNA". The record is from RNAcentral. Lineage: Eukaryota; Metazoa; Nematoda; Chromadorea; Rhabditida; Pratylenchidae.
UUAGGCGAGAGCACCCGCUGAACUUAAGCAUAU